RNAcentral lists this ribosomal RNA (257 nucleotides) under uncultured bacterium. Its description in RNAcentral is "partial 16S ribosomal RNA". It matches the Rfam family "Bacterial small subunit ribosomal RNA", at positions 333 to 607 of the family's 1533-position model. The record is from RNAcentral.
GGUAUCCUACGGGACGCAGCAGUGGGGAAUAUUGCGCAAUGGGGGAAACCCUGACGCAGCAACGCCGCGUGCGGGAUGAAGGCUUUCGGGUUGUAAACCGCUUUCAGCAGGGAAGAUAAUGACGGUACCUGCAGAAGAAGCUCCGGCUAACUACGUGCCAGCAGCCGCGGUAAUACGUAGGGGGCAAGCGUUAUCCGGAUUCAUUGGGCGUAAAGCGCGCGCAGGCGGGCCGCUAAGCGGGACCUCUAACCUUGGGG